GGGAUGCGCGUGCUAUACUGCAGUCGACGCUUCUUUUUCCCCGGAGCUUGCUCCACCGGAAAAAGAGGAGUGGCGAACGGGUGAGUAACACGUGGGUAACCUGCCCAUCAGAAGGGGAUAACACUUGGAAACAGGUGCUAAUACCGUAUAACAAUCGAAACCGCAUGGUUUUGAUUUGAAAGGCGCUUUCGGGUGUCGCUGAUGGAUGGACCCGCGGUGCAUUAGCUAGUUGGUGAGGUAACGGCUCACCAAGGCCACGAUGCAUAGCCGACCUGAGAGGGUGAUCGGCCACAUUGGGACUGAGACACGGCCCAAACUCCUACGGGAGGCAGCAGUAGGGAAUCUUCGGCAAUGGACGAAAGUCUGACCGAGCAACGCCGCGUGAGUGAAGAAGGUUUUCGGAUCGUAAAACUCUGUUGUUAGAGAAGAACAAGGAUGAGAGUAACUGUUCAUCCCUUGACGGUAUCUAACCAGAAAGCCACGGCUAACUACGUGCCAGCAGCCGCGGUAAUACGUAGGUGGCAAGCGUUGUCCGGAUUUAUUGGGCGUAAAGCGAGCGCAGGCGGUUUCUUAAGUCUGAUGUGAAAGCCCCCGGCUCAA
Molecule: ribosomal RNA, 600 nt
Filed under: Enterococcus faecium
Lineage: Bacteria; Bacillati; Bacillota; Bacilli; Lactobacillales; Enterococcaceae
Description: bacterial SSU rRNA
Rfam family: Bacterial small subunit ribosomal RNA
Source: RNAcentral